GAUGAACGCUAGCGGCAGGCCUAAUACAUGCAAGUCGAACGGUAAAUAGAUCAGCAAUGGUCUAUGAGAGUGACGCACGGGUGCGUAACACGUAUGCAACCUACCCUUUACAGGAGUAUAGCUCGGGGGAAACUCGAAUUAACACUUCAUAGUAUAAAUGAAUGGCAUCAUUUGUUUAUUAAAUCUGCGGAGGUAAAGGA
This 200-nucleotide ribosomal RNA is filed under the name uncultured bacterium. Its description in RNAcentral is "partial 16S ribosomal RNA". It matches the Rfam family "Bacterial small subunit ribosomal RNA", at positions 28 to 225 of the family's 1533-position model. The record is from RNAcentral.